Molecule: ribosomal RNA, 491 nt
Filed under: uncultured bacterium
Lineage: Bacteria
Description: partial 16S ribosomal RNA
Rfam family: Bacterial small subunit ribosomal RNA
Source: RNAcentral
AGUGAACGCUGGCGGUAGGCCUAACACAUGCAAGUCGAACGGCAGCACAGUAAGAGCUUGCUCUUACGGGUGGCGAGUGGCGGACGGUGAGGAAUACAUCGGAAUCUACUUUUUCGUGGGGGAUAACGUAGGGAAACUUACGCUAAUACCGCAUACGACCUACGGGUGAAAGCAGGGGAACUUCGGACCUUGCGCGAUUGAAUGAGCCGAUGUCGGAUUAGCUAGUUGGCGGGGUAAAGGCCCACCAAGGCGACGAUCCGUAGCUGGUCUGAGAGGAUGAUCAGCCACACUGGAACUGAGACACGGUCCAGACUCCUACGGGAGGCAGCAGUGGGGAAUAUUGGACAAUGGGCGCAAGCCUGAUCCAGCCAUACCGCGUGGGUGAAGAAGGCCUUCGGGUUGUAAAGCCCUUUUGUUGGGAAAGAAAAGCAGCAGGUUAAUACCCCGCUGUUCUGACGGUACCCAAAGAAUAAGCACCGGCUAACUUCGUG